AACGAACGCUGGCGGCAUGCCUAACACAUGCAAGUCGAACGAGACCUUCGGGUCUAGUGGCGCACGGGUGCGUAACGCGUGGGAACCUGCCCUUAGGUUCGGAAUAACUCCCCGAAAGGGGUGCUAAUACCGGAUAAUGUCUUCGGACCAAAGAUUUAUCGCCUUUGGAUGGGCCCGCGUUGGAUUAGCUAGUUGGUAGGGUAAAAGCCUACCAAGGCGACGAUCCAUAGCUGGUCUGAGAGGAUGAUCAGCCACACUGGGACUGAGACACGGCCCAGAAUACUACGGGAGGCAGCAGUGGGGAAUAUUGGACAAUGGGCGAAAGCCUGAUCCAGCAAUGCCGCGUGAGUGAUGAAGGCCUUAGGGUUGUAAAGCUCUUUUACCCGGGAUGAUAAUGACAGUACCGGGAGAAUAAGCUCCGGCUAACUCCGUG
RNAcentral lists this ribosomal RNA (433 nucleotides) under uncultured bacterium. RNAcentral's name for it is "partial 16S ribosomal RNA". It matches the Rfam family "Bacterial small subunit ribosomal RNA", at positions 29 to 507 of the family's 1533-position model. The record is from RNAcentral.